Molecule: long non-coding RNA, 1721 nt
Filed under: Pan troglodytes (chimpanzee)
Lineage: Eukaryota; Metazoa; Chordata; Mammalia; Primates; Hominidae
Description: long non-coding RNA NONPTRT007177
Source: RNAcentral
GCUGGACAGAGCCCGAGCCCGAGCCCGAGCCCUUCCUCCAGCUCCUCACACGGCGCUGAACAUGCUAAGAAGCUGUUGCUGGUUUUAAAAGCAGAGACACUUGUCGCAAUAGGCUGGCACCCCAGUGUUUGCUCACACAGGCAGCACAAUCCCACGCUGUACCUCAGCUUGUGCCUUGUCAGCUCUGAGCUGGGAGGGGAGAGGAGAAAGGAGGAAGCCUCCUGACCUCGGAGCCUCCAGUCAGGACUGGCUGGCUCUGCUCCGUAUGCCGAAAGCCCUGGGAAUUUUUCACUGCUCUCGGGAUGGCGUCUGGGGCGUGGGCAGGUUGGUCCCGCUUUGAACGCUCUGCUGGACUUACGGAGCUGCUCUUAGUGCUGGGCAGUGAACGCCAAGCUGUCGUGUCCACACGGCCAGGGGAAUGCCAGGGCCAAGGCCGGCAUGCGCUGAGCUUCUGCCCAGCCUGGAGUCGCCUUCACCAGACCAUGAGCACGUGAGGCACUUUCUAAGCACUGGUUGCCCGGGAGGCGCAACUGCUCAGAGGCCGAGGCAGCUCAAAGGGCUCCGACGUGCAGUGGCUCCACGGGGUCAGCGUGCCCAGAGUAAUGGGUGUCACUAGAGCACCUGGCCCAGCACACGCUUUCUGAGGACACCUGGUGGGCGCGCCCCACAGCAGGCCCCAAAGUUUCAGAGGUGCUCCACAAGGACUGACUCCACCCCGGGCACUGUGUCGGCACUGGAAACAUGAAACCCGAGCUGGGAGCCAGACAGGGGUCCUUCCUGAGAGCCUGGGAAGCCGCCUGCCCUCGUGGAAUUUACGGUCUGAGGAGUGAUGCACAUGAGGCACUUUGAAAGAUGUGAAGGACUGUGUGUAAAACACGUGCCAAUUUCUCGCUUCACAGAAGGAAUUUCCACUGCUUUCUCAGUUAAGUGUCAAGAACCUCCAAAAGAGAUGGUUCAAGAGAGCUAUAUUAUUGAAUCAGAUUAUGUUCUUUACACAUUUUAGCAUAGCUCACAAAACCAUAUGAAUGUUUCUGUUUUGAAUAUUCUCUUCCUAAAUGUUUUACAUCCUGUGGGGAGGGGCUUGGAUUCUGAUUCUGUGUUUAAAUCCUACAAGCAGGCCGGGUGCGUAGCUCACACCUAUAAUCCCUGCACUUUGGGAGGCUGAGGCGGGCAGAUCAUGAGGUCAGGAGUUUGAGACCAGCCUGACCAACAUAGUGAAACCCCGUCUCUAUUGAAAAUACGAAAAUUAGCCGGGUGUGGUGGUGGGUGCCUGUAGUUCCAGCUACUCGGGAGGCUGAGGCAGGAGAAUUGCUUGAACCAGAGAGUUGGAGAUUGCAGUGCCGCUGCACUCCAGCCUGGGCAACAGAGCGAGACUCCCUCUCAAACAAAAUAAAACAAAAAACAUCCUACAAGUGUCAAGCAUGGUGGUGCACACCUGUAGUCCCAGCUACUCUGGAGGCUGAGGUGGGAGGAUCACUUGAGCCCAGUUCAAGACCAGCCGGGGCAACAUAGUGAGACCCUGUCUCUAAAAAUAAAAUUAAAAAGGCGGCCGGGUGCAGUUGCUCACGCCUGUAAUCCCAGCAAUUUGGGAGGCAGAGGCAGGUGGAUCAUGAGGUCAGGAGAUCGAGACCAUCCUGGCCAACAUGGUGAAACCCAGUCUCUACUAAAAAUACAAAAAUUAGCUGGGUGUGGUGGUGCAUGCCUGUAAUCCCAGCUACUCG